GUACCAUGAACAGGUCUAUCUUCCAUGCACAACAUCUACAUUAAAAAUCAACCAGAAAAAAAAUAUUUUUUGUAAUAUUGACUUUUCUAAAAUAGUAUCAUUUAUACUGUGAAAUUUUUUUAUUUUUAAAUAUAUACAACCCACACUUUUAAAAAUACUAUAAACUUUUUUUUUUAUAUAGGAUUAUAUACAAACAAGUUCUACUCUCCUUUUUCCUUUUAUUCUUCUUCAUCAUGAUCUUAUUCCAUUGAUUCUCUCUUGCUUCUCUACAAGAAAAUCACCAACACUUUCACAUAGUAAUUAAUGACGUCACAGGAUCUGAAAGAAUCCAACUUGCCGCUGACACCGAUUGUUUAUUUCGAUGGAUUUUCAGGUGGAUCUUGAGGUGUUUCUAUCCAAAAAGUCUUGGUUGUAUAACUAUUUAAUUUGAUUUGUGGGAAAUGAUUUAUUGGUGUUUGAUUCAAAUUUU
Ricinus communis (castor bean) is the source of this 469-nucleotide long non-coding RNA. RefSeq lists it as uncharacterized. Lineage: Eukaryota; Viridiplantae; Streptophyta; Magnoliopsida; Malpighiales; Euphorbiaceae. The transcript has 2 exons. The record is from RefSeq and is a predicted model, not a curated record.